This 646-nucleotide ribosomal RNA is filed under the name Vibrio alginolyticus. Its description in RNAcentral is "bacterial SSU rRNA". It matches the Rfam family "Bacterial small subunit ribosomal RNA", at positions 61 to 687 of the family's 1533-position model. The record is from RNAcentral. Lineage: Bacteria; Pseudomonadati; Pseudomonadota; Gammaproteobacteria; Vibrionales; Vibrionaceae.
GUCGAGCGGAACGAGUUAUCUGAACCUUCGGGGAACGAUAACGGCGUCGAGCGGCGGACGGGUGAGUAAUGCCUAGGAAAUUGCCCUGAUGUGGGGGAUAACCAUUGGAAACGAUGGCUAAUACCGCAUGAUGCCUACGGGCCAAAGAGGGGGACCUUCGGGCCUCUCGCGUCAGGAUAUGCCUAGGUGGGAUUAGCUAGUUGGUGAGGUAAGGGCUCACCAAGGCGACGAUCCCUAGCUGGUCUGAGAGGAUGAUCAGCCACACUGGAACUGAGACACGGUCCAGACUCCUACGGGAGGCAGCAGUGGGGAAUAUUGCACAAUGGGCGCAAGCCUGAUGCAGCCAUGCCGCGUGUGUGAAGAAGGCCUUCGGGUUGUAAAGCACUUUCAGUCGUGAGGAAGGUAGUGUAGUUAAUAGCUGCAUUAUUUGACGUUAGCGACAGAAGAAGCACCGGCUAACUCCGUGCCAGCAGCCGCGGUAAUACGGAGGGUGCGAGCGUUAAUCGGAAUUACUGGGCGUAAAGCGCAGGCACGUGGUUUGUUAAGUCAGAUGUGAAAGCCCGGGGCUCAACCUCGGAAUAGCAUUUGAAACUGGCAGACUAGAGUACUGUAGAGGGGGGUAGAAUUUCACGUGUAACGGUGAAAU